AUAUUUUGGAACUGAGUUUAGUUCCUUCGAUAUCAAAGCAAUCUGGUAAAAAAAUGAUUACCAGAUUGCAUUGAUAUCGAAGGAACUAGACUCAGUUCCGAAAUAU
Paramuricea clavata is the source of this 106-nucleotide non-coding RNA. The record is from the annotation of a GenBank genome assembly. Lineage: Eukaryota; Metazoa; Cnidaria; Anthozoa; Malacalcyonacea; Plexauridae.